UAUAAGGAAGUGUACCUAAAGAAAAAAUCAGAGCACUUUGGUGGCACUAAGGACACAUGUUCUAGUUUUCAUAGGUAUUGCUAAGUUACUCUUCAAAGAGAUCGUAACAGUUUUUACACUUAAUGUUUGAACGUGUAUUUUUCCCACUGCCUCACCAACACCAUAUAAUGAAAACCUUAACAGUUUUUUGGCCACUUUUAAUAUAUGAAAUCUUAGAGUUUCCUGGUGGUUCACUGGGUUAAGGACCCAGCAUCGUCAUUGCUGAGGCUCAGGUCACUGCAGUGGCAUAGGUUUGAUCCCUGGCCUGGAAACUUGGCCUACACCACAGCCACAGCAAUGCAGGAUCAGAGCCGCAUUUGCGACCUACACCACAGCUCAUGGCAACACCAGAUCCUUAACCCACUGAGUGAGGCCAGGGAUCAAACCUGCAUCCUCAUGGAUCCUAGUCAGGUUCAUUAACUGAUGAGCUGUGAAGGGAACUCCUGCCUGGAAACUUCCAUACGCCAUUGUUUUGGCCAAAAAAAGGUAUCUGGUUUCUUCAUAGAUAUCCCAGGGCCAGCCAAGGUCCCACAUGGGCCAACCGUCUCCAGAUUGAUUUGGACAUUUCCCAAAUCACCUCUUCCAUCAGAACUUUCCACAAUGGCAAAGGUAUUCUGUAUCUGCACUGGCCAAUGGCCACUUGUGGCUAUUGAGCACUGAAAAUGAGGUUGCUGUAGGAGAUCCUGUUGUGGCUCGGCGGGUUAUGAAACCGACUACUACCCAUAAGAAUGUGGGUUCAAUCCCUGGCCUCCCUUAGUGGGUUAAGGAUCCCAUGUUGCCUGGGAGCGGCAGUAUAGGUAGCAGAUGAGACUCAGAUCCCAAGUUGGUGUGGCUGUAGUGUAGGCUGGCAGCUGCACCUCCAAUUCAACCCCUAGCCUGGGAACUUCCAUAUGCCACAGGUUCUUGCAGUAGAUGGAGAACCAGAGGAGGGCAACUGGGGGAAGAGUGAAAUCUCAGUCUCAAGGGCAUAUUCACCACUCAAUUCAACAGGAAAGAGGAACUCCAGGACUUUUGCUUUGAUAGCUAGUAUGAUGGCAGUUUUUCAGCUCCUGUUCUGAUAAAGUAAGUUGUAUCUGUUGCAAUUUCCAGGAAGACUAUACCGGAAAAAAAUCUCUGGACUGUCAUUUAUGAACUGGGAAAAAGAGCUUAGAGUCUUUAGAGUCAUCUUAGAAUAUAAGCAUUCUUUUGAAAGGGUAUAAACCAGCCAUUAACAUGCUGUUCUUUAGGCAAACACCGGGUCCCUGUUCUUGUGUUUGUUUUGAGGAUUUUCCAGAAAGAGAAAAACAGUCUGCUACUACUUAUAAUUUUCCUUGCUCUGAGUGAGUGAAGAUUAAAAUUAACUUAAAAAUAUAUUGCCAAGUAUUUUGGAAAGAACCAUAUAGAUCUACCUAGCUAUCACUGGGUUGAUUAGUAGUCAAAAUUCCCCAUUCCUCAUUGCUGCCUGUUUCCAGGCACUUCUGCGAUAUGAUUUUGCAGCUCUUCUUAUCAAGAGGUGAAGUCGACUUCUUGCUUACAAAUCUGGGCUGACCUUUCAAUUUACUUUGUUCAGUAAAAUGCAGUGAAAGUGAAGACAUGCCAGUUCUGAACCUAAGCUCAAAAGGUCUUGCAUCCUUCCAUUCUCCUUCAUAGGAUCUUCCACUGACAUGUGAAUAAGUCUGGACUAACUAGCCUGCUGGAAGAUGAUAGGGCAUAGCCACUGGAGAGAGGCCCUUGGUCAUUUUAUCUGUUCCAGGUGAGACCAACACAGACCAGCCAACUACACACCACCUGACUACAGAACAUCUGAGGGAACCCAGUCCAACCAAGCCCAGGCCAUAUCAGCCAAGUCCACUUCCACCUGUAAAAAUAAGAAAUGGUGGUUGUUUUAUGCAACUGGAUUUGGGAGGUGAUUUGUUACAAUAUUGCUGUGGCUAUACCAACAGUUGUCACAGUUGACAUUUUUAAUGUCAUUUAACAUUCCCGAUGGAAAAAAGUAGUUUUUGAAGUCAUAAUCAGAUUAAGCUCCUUGGAAUCAGAGUCUAUCAGAGAUGGAAGGAACAUUAGCAUCAGUCCUUGACUACAGGGAAAGUUUUACAGCUGAAGAAAUGGAAGCCUAGAGAAGGAAAGUAAGUGAUCUUGGAAUGGGGCAGCCAGUUAAGAGCUGCACAGGACACAGGUCUCCUGUCUCCAAGGUCUUUGCAAGUCCUCAGCCUGUUCUUUCAUGAAUACAUUCUGAGUUUUGCUUGUCUGCCAACCAGCAAGCUUUUGAAAACACAGCUUUAAAAAGGAGAUUACAUUCACAGAGACCAGUGCUUCCGACUCUACAAUCUGAUUCUUUGAUUUCUAAAGGCCCUCUCAAUUCUUUGUUGAAAGAAAUCCCAACUUUGACAUUUACCUUUUAUGAAAAGAUUAAUAAACAGCCUUCACCAUCAUCA
RNAcentral lists this transfer RNA (2453 nucleotides) under Sus scrofa (pig). RNAcentral's name for it is "lncRNA (ENSSSCG00070019590.1)". The record is from RNAcentral. Lineage: Eukaryota; Metazoa; Chordata; Mammalia; Artiodactyla; Suidae.